This 2902-nucleotide ribosomal RNA is filed under the name Escherichia coli KTE229. RNAcentral's name for it is "bacterial LSU rRNA". It matches the Rfam family "Bacterial large subunit ribosomal RNA". Lineage: Bacteria; Pseudomonadati; Pseudomonadota; Gammaproteobacteria; Enterobacterales; Enterobacteriaceae. The record is from RNAcentral.
UUAAGCGACUAAGCGUACACGGUGGAUGCCCUGGCAGUCAGAGGCGAUGAAGGACGUGCUAAUCUGCGAUAAGCGUCGGUAAGGUGAUAUGAACCGUUAUAACCGGCGAUUUCCGAAUGGGGAAACCCAGUGUGUUUCGACACACUAUCAUUAACUGAAUCCAUAGGUUAAUGAGGCGAACCGGGGGAACUGAAACAUCUAAGUACCCCGAGGAAAAGAAAUCAACCGAGAUUCCCCCAGUAGCGGCGAGCGAACGGGGAGGAGCCCAGAGCCUGAAUCAGUGUGUGUGUUAGUGGAAGCGUCUGGAAAGGCGCGCGAUACAGGGUGACAGCCCCGUACACAAAAAUACACAUAUUGUGAGCUCGAUGAGUAGGGCGGGACACGUGGUAUCCUGUCUGAAUAUGGGGGGACCAUCCUCCAAGGCUAAAUACUCCUGACUGACCGAUAGUGAACCAGUACCGUGAGGGAAAGGCGAAAAGAACCCCGGCGAGGGGAGUGAAAAAGAACCUGAAACCGUGUACGUACAAGCAGUGGGAGCCUCUUUAUGGGGUGACUGCGUACCUUUUGUAUAAUGGGUCAGCGACUUAUAUUCUGUAGCAAGGUUAACCGAAUAGGGGAGCCGAAGGGAAACCGAGUCUUAACUGGGCGUUAAGUUGCAGGGUAUAGACCCGAAACCCGGUGAUCUAGCCAUGGGCAGGUUGAAGGUUGGGUAACACUAACUGGAGGACCGAACCGACUAAUGUUGAAAAAUUAGCGGAUGACUUGUGGCUGGGGGUGAAAGGCCAAUCAAACCGGGAGAUAGCUGGUUCUCCCCGAAAGCUAUUUAGGUAGCGCCUCGUGAAUUCAUCUCCGGGGGUAGAGCACUGUUUCGGCAAGGGGGUCAUCCCGACUUACCAACCCGAUGCAAACUGCGAAUACCGGAGAAUGUUAUCACGGGAGACACACGGCGGGUGCUAACGUCCGUCGUGAAGAGGGAAACAACCCAGACCGCCAGCUAAGGUCCCAAAGUCAUGGUUAAGUGGGAAACGAUGUGGGAAGGCCCAGACAGCCAGGAUGUUGGCUUAGAAGCAGCCAUCAUUUAAAGAAAGCGUAAUAGCUCACUGGUCGAGUCGGCCUGCGCGGAAGAUGUAACGGGGCUAAACCAUGCACCGAAGCUGCGGCAGCGACACUAUGUGUUGUUGGGUAGGGGAGCGUUCUGUAAGCCUGUGAAGGUGGCCUGUGAGGGUUGCUGGAGGUAUCAGAAGUGCGAAUGCUGACAUAAGUAACGAUAAAGCGGGUGAAAAGCCCGCUCGCCGGAAGACCAAGGGUUCCUGUCCAACGUUAAUCGGGGCAGGGUGAGUCGACCCCUAAGGCGAGGCCGAAAGGCGUAGUCGAUGGGAAACAGGUUAAUAUUCCUGUACUUGGUGUUACUGCGAAGGGGGGACGGAGAAGGCUAUGUUGGCCGGGCGACGGUUGUCCCGGUUUAAGCGUGUAGGCUGGUUUUCCAGGCAAAUCCGGAAAACCAAGGCUGAGGCGUGAUGACGAGGCACUACGGUGCUGAAGCGACAAAUGCCCUGCUUCCAGGAAAAGCCUCUAAGCAUCAGGUAACAUCAAAUCGUACCCCAAACCGACACAGGUGGUCAGGUAGAGAAUACCAAGGCGCUUGAGAGAACUCGGGUGAAGGAACUAGGCAAAAUGGUGCCGUAACUUCGGGAGAAGGCACGCUGAUAUGUAGGUGAAGCGACUUGCUCGUGGAGCUGAAAUCAGUCGAAGAUACCAGCUGGCUGCAACUGUUUAUUAAAAACACAGCACUGUGCAAACACGAAAGUGGACGUAUACGGUGUGACGCCUGCCCGGUGCCGGAAGGUUAAUUGAUGGGGUUAGCGGUAACGCGAAGCUCUUGAUCGAAGCCCCGGUAAACGGCGGCCGUAACUAUAACGGUCCUAAGGUAGCGAAAUUCCUUGUCGGGUAAGUUCCGACCUGCACGAAUGGCGUAAUGAUGGCCAGGCUGUCUCCACCCGAGACUCAGUGAAAUUGAACUCGCUGUGAAGAUGCAGUGUACCCGCGGCAAGACGGAAAGACCCCGUGAACCUUUACUAUAGCUUGACACUGAACAUUGAGCCUUGAUGUGUAGGAUAGGUGGGAGGCUUUGAAGUGUGGACGCCAGUCUGCAUGGAGCCGACCUUGAAAUACCACCCUUUAAUGUUUGAUGUUCUAACGUUGGCCCGUAAUCCGGGUUGCGGACAGUGUCUGGUGGGUAGUUUGACUGGGGCGGUCUCCUCCUAAAGAGUAACGGAGGAGCACGAAGGUUGGCUAAUCCUGGUCGGACAUCAGGAGGUUAGUGCAAUGGCAUAAGCCAGCUUGACUGCGAGCGUGACGGCGCGAGCAGGUGCGAAAGCAGGUCAUAGUGAUCCGGUGGUUCUGAAUGGAAGGGCCAUCGCUCAACGGAUAAAAGGUACUCCGGGGAUAACAGGCUGAUACCGCCCAAGAGUUCAUAUCGACGGCGGUGUUUGGCACCUCGAUGUCGGCUCAUCACAUCCUGGGGCUGAAGUAGGUCCCAAGGGUAUGGCUGUUCGCCAUUUAAAGUGGUACGCGAGCUGGGUUUAGAACGUCGUGAGACAGUUCGGUCCCUAUCUGCCGUGGGCGCUGGAGAACUGAGGGGGGCUGCUCCUAGUACGAGAGGACCGGAGUGGACGCAUCACUGGUGUUCGGGUUGUCAUGCCAAUGGCACUGCCCGGUAGCUAAAUGCGGAAGAGAUAAGUGCUGAAAGCAUCUAAGCACGAAACUUGCCCCGAGAUGAGUUCUCCCUGAGACUUAGAGUCUCCUGAAGGAACGUUGAAGACGACGACGUUGAUAGGCCGGGUGUGUAAGCGCAGCGAUGCGUUGAGCUAACCGGUACUAAUGAACCGUGAGGCUUAACCUU